AAAUAUUAUGGCCCAGCUGUGACAUGGGAGGCUUCCGGCCUGGCGACAUUUUUCACGCCGAGAGCACCAUCACAGUUAUGCUAAUUUCGUUUGAUUAUGCUACUGACAUCUUACCCUUAUAACUUAUGCCUAAUAACGUGAAUGCAGCUCCUAUUGUUGACCUCAUUUAGUUUAUAAGUCCUCAACACACUGUUAUUUAUACUAUGUCUAGGCAAC
Molecule: non-coding RNA, 216 nt
Organism: Pelobates cultripes (western spadefoot toad)
Lineage: Eukaryota; Metazoa; Chordata; Amphibia; Anura; Pelobatidae
Source: the annotation of a GenBank genome assembly